RNAcentral lists this non-coding RNA (130 nucleotides) under Gulosibacter sp. 10. RNAcentral describes it as "FMN riboswitch aptamer (RFN element)". It matches the Rfam family "FMN riboswitch aptamer (RFN element)". From Rfam's summary of the family: The RFN element is a highly conserved domain that is found frequently in the 5'-untranslated regions of prokaryotic mRNAs that encode for flavin mononucleotide (FMN) biosynthesis and transport proteins. This element is a metabolite-dependent riboswitch that directly binds FMN in the absence of proteins. RNAcentral also lists the same sequence under 1 other name. Lineage: Bacteria; Bacillati; Actinomycetota; Actinomycetes; Micrococcales; Microbacteriaceae. The record is from Rfam by way of RNAcentral.
CACGUGCUCCGGGGUCGGUGAAAUUCCGAGCCGGCGGUGAAAGUCCGCGACCCGCCCGCCAGCGAUGGCGGCGGCUGAUCCGGUGGAAUUCCGGGACCGACGGUCAUAGUCCGGAUGGGAGGCGCGCGUG